This is a long non-coding RNA of Dermochelys coriacea (leatherback sea turtle), 224 nucleotides long. RefSeq lists it as uncharacterized. Lineage: Eukaryota; Metazoa; Chordata; Testudines; Dermochelyidae. The record is from RefSeq and is a predicted model, not a curated record. The transcript has 3 exons.
GGGCACCGGCGGGGCCCAUCCCACGCCGUUGCCCAGCGAGCGGGAGUCCGGACUGGACAGAUAGUUUGCUCAGUUUCUCCCCUCCUCAGUCCAGGGACCCAUGCUGGGAAAACAGGCCCCCAACUUUCUCACAAUGUUGUGCGCAUCUUCAGGGCCCCGGAGCAGAGAAGGGCCCAGCGAGUGCCAAAGGCACUCAGCUAAUAGAGAAGAUAAUUCCAGGAGAG